Agelaius phoeniceus (red-winged blackbird) is the source of this 744-nucleotide long non-coding RNA. RefSeq lists it as uncharacterized. The record is from RefSeq and is a predicted model, not a curated record. NCBI's taxonomy places the organism in Eukaryota, Metazoa, Chordata, Aves, Passeriformes, Icteridae.
CAGCAAGUUGUGUUUGUUAUUCUAUAACACAGACCUCUCCCUCUCUGCCAGUGCCCUGAGAUAAAGAGCUCCUGGGAAAACUGGAAUCCAACUGAUACCAAAAAGGUGACCUGGAUGACAUCAGCCAUGGACCUCCUGGCAUGGCCUCCAAGGAGGGGGGUUAUGGAUCAGAUACAGAGGCUCUCCUUAAAAAGGCCAAAGAGACCUGGAAUCUCCCACUGGGUCUUUUUUCUCUGGCAUCAUUGCUCUUCCUGUUUAAGCAGCUCAGGGUGGCUCUGAUCCUGUGCUAAUGGAAGGAAUCGUGGUUAAUGUAGAACCCUGUGUGCCAUGGGGUGAACCUGAGGCUCUGAACAUCCAGGAGCACUUUGAGGAGCUGGAAGGUAAAGGGCAGAAAACCAGCACACUUCAGGGCAGGCAUGCUUGCCAAGGUGGGCACAGACUGAAGAGCUGCAUUCACCUCCAGAAAGGAACUCUGGCUGAAGCACAUGCAGGAGAAUGAAUGUCAGAAAUGUUGAAACUCUGCCCAGCUGGCAUGAUGUAAUCCCAGCAAGUGCUCUGAUCUGCAGGCUACAAUAAAUAUAACUGGGGAUGGGCCGUUUACAGUUUCCUGGAAUUGGAAAGACCUAGCUCAAGACUCAAAAUGAUUCCAGUCUUUCCCAGUGAUAACACAGCAAUUUUUUUAAUUAGACCAAACAAGACUGUGUGCUUGUUUUGGUGGGAAUAAAGAAAAUUGCAAAAACUUCA